This is an RNA transcript of Anopheles merus, 4276 nucleotides long. It is a transcript of the gene named E3 ubiquitin-protein ligase AMFR-like, with no coding region annotated. Lineage: Eukaryota; Metazoa; Arthropoda; Insecta; Diptera; Culicidae. The record is from RefSeq and is a predicted model, not a curated record. The transcript has 12 exons.
GGGCAGCGCUCGCGCAUUGUUGUGAUUGUUUGUUCGCGAAACAGUGUACGCGAAGAUAUACCUUUCGUCGCCGUCGUAGUCGUCGGUCGCAACAACAGCAGCAGUAGCAGUAGCCGGGUGUACACGCGUGUGCAAUUUGCUCUACGGAAAUACAGAAAGUGAGCAAGACAAGUGCAGUAGUGCUUGCGACAGUGUAAUAUUAUUUUGCACAACUUCGUAGCCGUCGCAUUUUUCUGCCGGAACUCAAGUUACCGCAUUACCGUUGCGAGAGGCAGCCGGUGAAAAAGUGUGUAAAAUUUUCAAUCGGUUUUGUGUCUGUGUGUGUGUGUGUGUGUGUGUGUGAGUGUGUUUGAGCAAAAGUAGGUUAUUCCGUCGUCGAAGCGGCUAAAACGGAAGCAAAAACACCGGGUGUGAUUAGUAACGCCACCGCGGACGACGGGCUGCCGGGGGUUUGCAGCUGUUUGUCUCAUCAGCGCAGUGUGUGAGUGUGUGUCCGGGUCCGGGUGUGAAAGGAAGAGAAAGAGAUCGAACGGCGCGGCGCGGUUGAAAUAGCACUGAACAAGGAACGUGGAAGAGCAAGCAGUUUUUGAAAGCGAUCGCUGCAGAAGAAUCUUCAUAAAUGGACUGAAAAGAGAAAGAGAAAGAUAGCAACCGACCGUUACGUCCGAGAACAAACUGAUCCUGCGACAGCAUCCAGUGCUAGGAAUCAAAAACUCCGAUCUCAAACACACCACCAUGCCGGUUGCAUUGAACGGAUCCGUACCGUUGCCCUCGGUGCGGGUUUACACCAGCGUCACGGUACUGCUGAUGUCCGCCUGCCUCUACUACGCACUGGCCAUGACCAGUGAUCCAAACUGGAGGCAACACACAAACAUCACCAGCAGCACGACGGGCGGAACGGUACCCACGGCGGGUGGAACGGCGUCCACAGCAGCAAACACAGCCACCAGCGCCGCCAGCUCCGCCGCCGGACCGGCCGGUGUGAUCGACGGUGCGGUAGAGGGUGCCGGGGGUAAGCUGGGAGAGGUAGGAGGCGCCAGUGCCGCCUCCUUGCUGUCGGUGAAGGAGAUCGACACGCUCGAGGAGAAGAUAUUAGCGGCCGCCGAUCUGUCCGACCUGCGCCAAAUGCUGCAAGGUGGCGGCAGCGAUGCACCAGACGAGGACGACUCCCGAGAAGUGGACGAAGGGGACGAGCGGUGGCUGGUGGUGGGCAACGAUACGCGAUCGCUCGGAGCGUACCUGAAGGAUACGGCAUCGUUUAUGGCGACGGAACCAUUUUGCAUUUGGACGUUAAUCAACACCGCGUACUGCUGCCUGAUACUGCUCGGCAAAUCGAUACAGAAGUUCGUCUUCGGUGAGCUGCGGAUAUCCGAACAGCAGCACAUGAAGGACAAGUUUUGGAACUUUAUCUUCUACAAGUUUAUCUUCGUCUUUGGCGUCGUGAAUGUGCAGUAUUUGUACGAGGUCAUACUGUGGGUGUCGUGGUUCUCGGCACUCGGAUUCCUACACCUGCUGUCACAGCUCAGCAAAGAUCGGUUCGAGUAUCUCUCCUUCUCGCCAACCACUCCAGGAUGGUCCCACUUCCGGCUGAUCUCGCUGCUCGUUGCCAUCCUCGCCCUGUCCGGGCUGAUGGUGGGGAUCUCGAUCGGUGUCGGCGUAUUCUUCGGUGGCUUCAAUACGUUCGCCUUCAUGGCGGCUGAGUGUAUCCUGCUGAGCAUACGCACGCUGCACGUGCUAAUACGCUACGGCAUGUUCCUGCACGAUAUGCGCCAGGGCGGUAUCGCGAAUGAGUCUUUCUCAUCCUUUCCAGCAAUCUCCUGGGAUAAGCGUGGCCCGGUCGCGUACUACAUUGAGCUAACGUUCGAGGUGGCCGCCUUGAUGGUGGAGCUCGUGCACUACAUCCACAUGAUGCUCUGGAGCAACAUCUUCCUGUCGAUGGCGAGCUUGGUGAUAUUGAUGCAGUUGCGCUACCUGCUGAACGAGAUCCAGCGCAAGAUCAAGAAGCACCGCAACUACCUGUGGGUGCUGAAUCACAUGGAGAAGAGCUACCCGCUGGCGUCGAGCGAUGAUCUGAAGCAAAACUCGGACAACUGUGCCAUCUGCUGGGAGAAGAUGGAAACGGCUCGCAAGCUACCGUGCGCCCACUUAUUCCACAACUCGUGUCUACAGUCCUGGCUGGAACAGGACACUUCCUGCCCUACCUGCCGUCUCGGGCUGAGCGUGCAUCAGAACGGUGGUCCACGGGGCAGUCCGCUGCUGCCGGAUGACAUCCGCAUCGACGAUCAGGACGGUGCGGUUGGCGGUGGCGGUGGCCGUACGGCCAACAAUCACUUCUUCCACUUCAACGGCUCGCGCUACGUGUCCUGGCUGCCGAACUUUUCCGUCGAAGUGACGCACAUCAACAACAUGCUGCGCCCGUCGGAAACGCUUCCGAUUACGGCGGCCGCUGUGGGUAACCAUACGUCGCAGGUGCGCAACAUGGCCCGCCACGUGCAGGAGAUGUUUCCCCGCUAUCCCCUUUCCGUGCUGAUCGGUGAUCUGCAGAUUUCGCGCUCGAUCGAGGUGACGAUCGAUAACAUACUCGAGGGACGGCUGCAGGUCCCCGCGAACAGUCCCGAGGACGAGGACGAGGAGACGCUGGGAGCGGGAGCAAGUGUUGCCUCGAUGGCCAUGAGCGGAUCGAUGGACGGGGACAACGGCGAUGAUGAUGAUGAGCUGUCGGGCGAGCUUUCGACACGAUCGCUUACGAAUUCGCUGUCUGCGUCGUCCCUGUCGUCGCUGUCCUCGCCGGCCGGGUACGAGGUGGAACGUGGCACUAACAUCUUUGGCAAUUACGAUGCAUUAUUGCGGGACGAUACGGUCGAGGAGAUUUCAUCGGCAACCUCCGUCCCGCUCGGGGAUCGGUUCUCCAAAAGCCCUGAGGAGCGGGAAAAGAUUCUGCAGCGCCGCAAGGAGCAACUGCUAGCGAUGGCUCGAAGAAGAUAUCUGGAAAAGAACAAAUCGGAGCUAAAUCAUCAACCGUCCACGUCUGCGACGGCUUCCACCUCGAGCACUGUUAGGCAUCGAAACAAAAGCUGUAUGGAAACGACAGUGGUCGAAAGCGCUAGCAGCAGCAGCAGCGGCAGCGGCAGCAGUGGAAAUAAUCUGUCAAAGUUAAACCCGUCCUUAUCACCUAGCCACCAUCAGCAGCGGCUUUCUGUGGAACAGCAGCCGCUCGAUGAGGUACAGCAGCUGGAUCAUUCCGACAGCAGCUUUUAAACGGAAACCGGAAGCACUGAUCAUUCGUGUGACCAAAACAAGUAUCUCCCGAUCGGUGUAUUAGGUGUGUGUGUGUGCGUGUGGAUGGGUGUGUCCUACUCACGAUGGCGCCACAAAGCUCCGUUUAAGAAAAAGAAAGAAGAACUGUUCCUUGUUGCCGGCGGUGCUGUGAAGAUUUUAAGUUUCAAUUUUAUUACUUUUUUUUAUAAAGGCAAACCCCUUCUAGACGACUUUUCUCGCUGAUCGUAUAUUUUAGCUUAAAUCUUUCUUAUCGUAACGUACCGUAGCCUUAGUUGUUUAGUUUUUUGAAGAUAUUAGUCAGUCAGUGUGUGUCAGUCAUGUGAGGGGAGAAGGCCGAGUGGAAAUGCAAAAUUAGUAACAAAAGAAGCGAUCAUGGAGCAUGAAGAGAUAUAUCAUGUGUGUCAUUUUCGGGAUAAGUGUAGUGGUGUUGUACACCGAGCUGGCUUGGCUUUCGAUGAAGAUCAGCUCUGUUAAUUUAGGCAAACUGAAGACGGAAGACGGUCGAACAAACUGUCGGAAGGAUCAGUUUAGAUCGAAGUGGCCAAAUCGAUCAGUGACGGAGGAAACAAACAAAACCAAUCAAUCGAUUAAGGAAAAAAGGGGUGCAAACGCUAAAACAACAAAUCAUACUGUAGUAGUAGUCGUCGGGGUAGCUUCCUUCCUUCUCCUCCGAAACACGCUUGAUAAGGUGUAAAAAGCGAGAGAGUGACAGAGAGUGACCGAAACAGAGGGGAAACAUUUGGUAUUAAUGUGUUGAAGCUGCAGCUAAUGAGAUAGAGGGUGAAAUCAGUAGGACGAGGAGACGGAUUUCGUUCGCUAUAAUCGCAUCAUCGUAACGCGCAGUACGACGGAGUAUGCAGUAGUCAAAAUUGGCAAGUAAAAAACACACACACUUUUAGCGACAAGAAAGACUCAAACCAACAAAAACAAAGCAGAAUAAUAAUAAGCAAAAAUGCAAACACAAUAAAGAGUAAUGUUCGUUGUUAUUUCGUUUUAA